RNAcentral lists this transfer RNA (73 nucleotides) under Labilithrix sp. Its description in RNAcentral is "tRNA-Ala". It matches the Rfam family "tRNA". Rfam says of the family: Transfer RNA (tRNA) molecules are approximately 80 nucleotides in length. Their secondary structure includes four short double-helical elements and three loops (D, anti-codon, and T loops). The record is from RNAcentral. Lineage: Bacteria; Pseudomonadati; Myxococcota; Polyangiales; Labilitrichaceae.
GGGGUCGUAGCUCAGCCAGGAGAGCAUCUCGAUGGCAUCGAGAAGGUUGCCGGUGCAAUUCCGGUCGACUCCA